UCACUACUGAAGAGUCCCACAAUAAGACGAAACGGCCGUUUAGUGC
RNAcentral lists this non-coding RNA (46 nucleotides) under Schistosoma margrebowiei. The record is from RNAcentral. Lineage: Eukaryota; Metazoa; Platyhelminthes; Trematoda; Strigeidida; Schistosomatidae.